GGCACUCACAGACACCGGGACACCGGCACUCACAGACACCGGGACACCGGGACUCACAGAUACCGGGACACCGGCACUCACAGACACCGGGACUCACAGACACCGGGACUCACAGACACCGGGACACCGGCACUCACAGACACCGGGACACCGGGACACCGGGACUCACAGAUACCGGGACCCCGAGGCUCACAGUGAGCAGGUGCAGGCGUUCCCCUGCACUCCGAGGCCACAGUAACCCGUGUCCCCGGUACUGCCCUGUCCCCAGGGCUCCUGAGCACCCCCGGCGGUGACUGCAGCGCUGCCCCGGGUGCCCCGUGCCGCGGCCCUUUCGGUGAAGAGGUUUUCCCUCAAGUCCAAUCCAGCAUUCCCUGGCACAGCUUGAGGCCGUUUCCUUUCGUGCUGGCCCUCGGCAGCUCCCGGGACAGAGCGGCUGAGGGGGCCGAGCUGGGAAGGGCCCGCUGUGGGGCAGGGCUGGGAGCGGGAAGGGCCCGCGGCCUCUAUCGCGUGGCUGCAGGACAGAGGUGGAAAAUGAGGGGCUGGCAGAGGGAACAGCAGCACUCCGCAGCUGGGGCAGCGAGACGAGGCUGCCAGCGAGGAGGGAACAGAGGAAUGAUGUGGUCUAAGCCAUUGACCAGCACAACAAUUUUUGCAGCAGCCCUCUGGAUACAAACCAGGAGAUCAAGGAACGCUCUGGAAGGUGUGGACAUAGUUGGGCAGUAGGAAUCCAUGAAAAGAUGAUGAUGAACCCUCAAAUCAUGAAGAGACAGGCUGGACGACGCCAGUUUUACCUCCAAACCAAUUUCCUGACAAUCAUCUCUUCCCUGGCAGCCCUGCUCGUCUCCGGGGCCUCUGUGGGUCCGUGUCUCCUCAGCGUCUCCCUGGAAUUGGCCUCGUUGCCACCUCCAUCUCUGGAUGUUCCUUAUGCCCAAUGAAGAGAAAUUUCCAAAACGCAGAAGGGUCAAGAAGAUGUACAGGAAAAAAAAAAAAGCCAGCUAAGUCAUGUCUCUAGGGCUGUGUUUGUACAUUCAGCACGUUAUGAAAAGCAGCUCUUUGGGCUGGUUCAUUGACUGGCAGGAAUUAGAGAGCUAAGUCACUGCAGGGCUGGCAAUUAGCUGCUGCACAAGUGUUUUUGUAGAGUCAAAUUUCCAGCGAGGGGAAGAGAAAAGCGUUUGUAAAGCAAAACACCCCUCGGUGCAGGAGCUGGGCAGGGGGAGCUGCAGCUCCUGCACUCCUGAGCAAAGAGAGGAUUUGUUCCUCAAACAAACACCGGAACUUAGAGCCUCCCCCUCCAGAGUCUGCCUCGCUGAAAUCCUCUCGCUGUCACAGCUGAAAUGUGGCUACAAAGAGCUGCAGGAAUUCCCCAAGGUUGUUUCACAGCCAAAAUGCAGUGCCUGGAACAAAAGGACUGUGCUGCAGGAGUCGGAGAGGAGCAAUGGGAGGAAGAGAAGCCCCCAGUGUGUGACUGGAGGAGCUGCAGAUGGCCAGACGUGACUGCGAGGGAAGGGAGGCAGCGCUCAGAGCAACGUUUCAGCUUUCAAGUCCCGUGCUCCAGGAUCUACAUGCCAUUUCUUGGAUGUGGUUUGCCCCGAGGGCAAUCUCAACAGCUGUGAAGUUUCAACAGAUGAACAAUGUAGUUUUCAAUAAAUUUCACCAAGCAAAGGAAAGGAUUUUAACUCGUUCAUGCUAACCCACUUUUGGUCUGAAGGCUCUCCUGGACCCCAAUCCAUGCACAUCAUGAGUGUUUCCUGUUUGAGCCCCAGGCACACCUGAGCUGCACUGAGAGGUUUUUCCCCCUCAGAAGAGGCUUCUCUCAGCCAUGCCUGUGGGUCCUGGGAGGUGCAGGAACACCCCUGCCUUUACCUGUGCCACUUGAACCCGCUCUGGUGGAGGAAGGUGCCAAAUGAGGAUGCCCUCAGCUCCUGGUGGGGAAAGGAGAGGAGGUAGAAAGACCUUUCUUUCAAAUCUCCUUGUGGCUACUGCAUCUAGGAAGUUCCAUUUCCUUUGUAGUCACACAUCCAGAAGUGGGGCUUUGCUCUUGGAGUCAUGUUCUCAUCCCAGCUGAAGGCUGAUGCCAUUAACUGUAACUGAAAGAGGGGCUUUUGUGUCCCCGAAUUCUGCAGUCAGAGAAGUCAAGAAAUUACCUCUUCCAAAGCCCAUCUGGUGUAUCCUCAGAUCCCGAGGACAAAUACUGCAAAUUGUACACAGGACAGGACAGCAAACCUGAGUCCAGAGGUAAAAGGCCAGUUAAAAAGCCAGCACUGGGUUUUUUUGGUGCGUGUCUGGGGGUUCUGAGCAAUGAGGCUGUGACCUUUGCUGCCUCCCCUGGGGCUGGGAUCUGUCAGGCGGUUUCAGGAGUCCGAAGCAGCGAGCUCACACCCCUCGCAGGAGAUAACAGUGCUGAGUGAGCCCUGGAGGGAUCUCACACCUGUGCAGGCUCCCUGCUUCACCUGUCCAUGUUUUACCUUUGCUGUCCAGGCCGAUGGGCUCAGGACUGAGCAUUUCCUUCUCACCCAAACAUCUGCCCAGAGGCCAUUCCCUCCUGCUCCCACACAGCCACUCCCUGGCCAGUCUGCUUCCCCCUCCCUCUGCAGACAGACAGACAGACAGACAGACAGACACCUCCAGGAGCUGCCCCGAUGGUUCCCCACACAGCUCCGGGGGGCACUGAUGGAGUUUCACUGUAAGGAAACAACCCAAGCCCAGCUACAGACUCGAGGGUGGGUCUGUGUGUGAGGCAGAGGUGCCCUUGACCUUUAGGAGGCUCUUAGCACCAACCCAUGAACAGCGACUGCUUUCAACCAGAGCUUUACAGUGACUGCCUCCCCACCUCUGCCCCUUCCCGAGCCAGGACACAGCUCAUAAAACACCCAGAGACAUCUUGUGAGAUGCUGCAGCCUCCACACAACAGGGCACAGACACACUCGGGGUCUUUUGUCCCAGCUCUUCAAAAUGUUUCAUGCGUUUUAGUCAUCACAUUGCUCUUCCUGUCCUACUGAGGCUCCUCAGCCAUCAGCUUCCAACAGAAGUUUUUCAGACAGAAACUAAAUAUCAUUUCCUUCCUGUAAAAGAAGCCAGCGGUAUCUCCUUUUCACGUGGAAAGUCAAUAACCCUUGCAAAUGCACAGGGCAGCCUGGUUGUGCACUCUGAUUUCUCAUGAUUUCUGCUGAAAUGCUUUCAGUUGGCAUCUCCACCAAAGUGCUGAACUCUCCAUCCAUGGGCUCUUCCUUGGGAAGAGUGCAAAGAUCCUCCUCUGUAGGAGCAGAAAAAUCAGUGGUCUGAGCAAACCCCUCGGCUCUCUGGAGAGGCUGGACACUGUGGAUGCUGUGCUGGAUUCAUUCCCAGCCUUGUGCAAGCUCUCGUGGUGUCUUUUUAGAUGGUUCCUCAGAGUCUGCUGUGUGGUCUCUGGGUGCUCCCCUGGAUCUGAGGCUUCCACAGGGAGUUUGUGACAAUUCAGUCUCAGAGUUCAGCACCUGCAGCCCGAGAGGAAGUGUGAAAACUCUUUGGGAACUGAUCUCUGGCACUGUCCAACCAAUUUAUCCCAGUGACAUUUGCUAGUGGCAAUGCAGUGUGUGUCACAGAGCAUCCAGGAGUUUGGAAUGGCAGGACUUGGCAUCACUGCUGUGCCAAGUUACUGCUGGGAGAGGCACUUUGCAUCCCAGAGGGAGCCAGGAGUGCGCUCACACCAAUAAAAUCCACAUUUCCGUG
Non-coding RNA from Cyanistes caeruleus (blue tit), 3708 nucleotides. The record is from RefSeq and is a predicted model, not a curated record. Lineage: Eukaryota; Metazoa; Chordata; Aves; Passeriformes; Paridae.